UAGCAACUUUCGAGCCACAUUUUUGACUUAUCAUUCACUUGGCCAUUUUGUGCGCAGAGGCACCAAAUUUGAUUCCCACAGUAUGGAUGCAUGUGUGGUUUCUCCAGUUGUGGGUCUUCAGAGUUACAAUGCUCAGAAUGAAUGUUGGUUCCAGCUGCGGCACAUUGCAGCCAGCCAGACAACAGGAUUUCCGAGCAGAAUCUUGAAGGAGCAGUUAAAAACGCUGGAGGAGGCAGCAUCUCUCAUGUCAAAAGCUGUUGUAAACAAGGGGAGUGAGAUGUCUGUAAAUAGACAUCCUGAUUACGAGUUCUUCCUCUCUAGGCGAAGCUAGUGACUUCCAGUUUGUAUUUUAGAUUAGCAACUGAGAAUAGUCUUGUGUUUGCCAGUGACGAUGUAGCUUUCAGGUAAGAUUUAACUGCAUGUAAUGUAUAGGGCUCAAGUGGCUAAUCUACUGUCCUUUUUUAUUAUGUAAAUUUGUUUGAUAUUCAGCAAAGUAUACCUGUACAGUGAAUUUCAAACAAAUUUACAUAAUAAAAAAGGAC
RNAcentral lists this unclassified non-coding RNA (542 nucleotides) under Hevea brasiliensis (rubber tree). Lineage: Eukaryota; Viridiplantae; Streptophyta; Magnoliopsida; Malpighiales; Euphorbiaceae. The record is from RNAcentral.